GUUUCUUCCUUUGACUUGGAGAAGAUAAAUAACUGCGGUGAUGAGUGGCCUGAGGAUUUGAGAUCACUGCUAUCAACCUGCUAACAACACCCAAGUAGAUCUACAGCAGUCAUGUUUCAGCCCAAGAGUGACUGAAGUAAAGGCAGUGUCUCUCAUUGAGAUGAAUAGCACCAGGAUCCCAGAACCCUGUAACCACUAUAGAAGCCCAAGAUGAAAGACU
Molecule: long non-coding RNA, 220 nt
Organism: Eubalaena glacialis (North Atlantic right whale)
Lineage: Eukaryota; Metazoa; Chordata; Mammalia; Artiodactyla; Balaenidae
Exons: 3
Source: RefSeq, a predicted model, not a curated record